Long non-coding RNA from Triticum aestivum (bread wheat), 2764 nucleotides. RefSeq lists it as uncharacterized. The transcript has 3 exons. The record is from RefSeq and is a predicted model, not a curated record. Lineage: Eukaryota; Viridiplantae; Streptophyta; Magnoliopsida; Poales; Poaceae.
UCAGUUCGUCGGUGAGGAUGUUGGUCCGUGGAACAGGAAGGUAGCUUUCCGUCGAGGGUUGGUGUGUAGAAUUAAUUUAGGAGCGGCUGUAGUGUUGGGUGAUUUCUCGUCUGCACGGAGGACACUUGGGCCGUUGUUCCAGGUAAUGAGUUCGAGCAAAGGCGGCGCUCCCGAUUUCGUCGGCAAUGGAGUUUCUAAUGCUGCCGAUAAGCAGAUUCCCCCUGAUAGAGGAUGUGGAUGAAAGGGCACCGCCGCUGAAUCUGGUAGUGCGCGACGCCGCCGCAUCGAUGGUGGGUGCGGCCGUGCGGGGGUGGUGGAGCCAGCCGGCGGAGCGUGCGGGCACAUCUGCGAGGGCCAACUAGGCCAGGAUUCCCUCAAAAAAAAAAACUAGGCCAGGAUGGGCGGCGGGAGUCGUCGCCGCAGGCAUCCGAACUAUCCAUCGGGAAGAUGAACAAGUAGGCUCCUCGCUCGACUAAGAGGUACGACCUGCUGAUGAAGAAUCCCUUUCUGUGAUUUCCUGGUUUGGUUUUAAUAAAUCGAGCGACGAUGUUUGAACUGAAUUUGUGAGCAAUGCAAUGUGUGUCGUGUGGUUUGUCGUGCAGUGGAACUAUUUUUGUGGAUGUCAUACGAUACGUCCGGGGAAUUUAGUCCAGAUGGAUAUGUGAGUAUGUGGGUGUAUGAAUAAUCAGUCUACACCUGUGUUACCCCAGACAGGAUUUGCAAUUAGUCUGGUGCAGGAGAACACAUGUCGUCGAUGAUGACAAUAAUAUGAUAUGUCUGAUCCGUUGGAGCUGGAGUUUCAAUGUCUGCAUCCCGGUAUAAGUAGAUGGAUGAGAGAUAUGCAGGGCAGCAGGCAAAAACUGUUUUCUGGUUAGCAAAGCACAUGUGUGGUGCAUUGAUGAGUUGCUGAUCAGAUGUAUUGGUACUGACUGUUGGAAUUUUUAUUGCAUGGUUGGGAUUGGAGCAGCAGCCCGUUGUCCUUCGUGGGUAAUCGCAUUUGAGAAACCGGUUAGGGAUGUCGAUUGUUUUGUGAGCAAUCUGUGUGAGUUUGUUGGUGUAUGGAUAAUCAGUGUAUGAUCCUGCGCUAACCCUAUACAGUAUUUGCAUUUAGCCUGAUGUAGGAAAACACAGAUCGUCGAUGAUGACAAUAAUAUAGCCAUGUUAGCUAUGGUAUAGGUUGGUCGGUGAUCAGCAGACCCGUUGGUGCUGGUGUUUUGAUGUAUGUGUCGUGGUAUAAUGGCAUGGUUGCAGAGAUGUGCAGCACAGGGAUGAGACGUGAGGCGGAAGGCCUCGCCGCAGGCAUCGGAAUUGUCCACGGGGAAGAUGAACCUGCAGGCAUCUGAUUGGGCUAAGAGGUGCGUCCCCAUUAAUGUCAGUGUGUAGUUUUCAAUUUUUCGCUGGCAUGGAGCAGGUUUGCAUGAAUAGGUUUGGGAAUCUGGUAAAUUUAUUAGACUGAGUUCUGGUGGUCAUGGUAGUGUGAAAUGGAUUAUCAGACGUGGAACCCCUAGUAAACUGGUCUGGAUGCAGCGUUUAAACUUUUUAGAGAGAAUUUAACCAUGGUCAUGGACACGUAUAGUGAAUAGGGCGUUCAUAUUUUGUAAGACAGUUGGGAAUGUCUGGCGUUUAAUUAUCGACACAGAAAAUAGAGAAGUAAAAUUUUGAAUUUGAUGCAAUUUUCUGUUGAUCUUCAGAAGUGAGUAAGUGCUACCUGUAAUGAACUUUAUUAGUAAUUUGAUUGCUGAAGAUAAGCCGGUCUGCUGUAAGUUGUAAUAUAUGUGGCUAGACUUCCUCGGACAUGGCCUGUGGAAUUAUAGUGUGAUAAUAAUUAGCAAUGGAUUGUCAGAUUUAAAUCCCGUAGUCUGAACUGGUAUGGAUGCAGCGUUUAAUUUUCGAGAGAGAAGUUAUCCAUGAUCAUGAAGACGUGUAGUGAAUAGUGGAUUCUAUUAUGUAAGACAGUUGGGAAUGUUUGACGUUUAAUUAUCAAUACAGGAGAUAGAAAAUCAAAACGUUGAACCUGAUGCAAUUUUCGGUUAAUACUUCAGAAUUGAGGGAAUGCUACCAGCAAUGAAAUUUCAGAGUAAUUUGGUGGCUGAAGAUAAAACGGUUUCCUAUAAGUAUUAAUAUAUGUGGCAAGAAUUUCUGAUACAUGGCCUUUGGCCUGUGUAUAGGAUAGGUGCAUCAGCCCCUAGCAGGACACCAUGCCCCUCCUGUGUGAGGGGUGUGAGGGGCUAUGCAGAGAACCCUUCAGAAACUCUGAGUGUGCCGACUUUAGGUACAAGCUUUUACUCGCUCGGAGAGCUUUUGAUUCCUACAACUUAUAUUCCUGGAGAAAUGUUUUGUAAUAAGACAUGGAAGAGCAGAUUGAAUGUGGAGGGAACAAAUGCAUGCAAGAAAAUCGUAUGUGGGUGCUCGGGGGAAGCCGGUGUAGAGAACAACUUGCCCGACACGGGCGACGUUCCGAAACUGCCAAGAAAGCCAAGACGAUCCAAGAAUUAUUGUGUUGGAGAGCAUCGGAAGAACAGUUGCACGAAGACAAUGGAAAUGAGAUUGCCCUGUUUCUAAUGCGCUGUGUUGUGAUGUCAAAAAAGCUAGUUUUCUUUUUCUUAAGUGUGAGGCUAGUGCCAUUAGAACUAUGAGGCUGGCGUUUGUUUAGGUUUGUGAUUGCAAUUGUUGUAACUGUAGUGUGAUUUGAUGCUGGCCCAGUGGGCGCCUUGUUGCAGUACGAGCCCUGAUUAUAACAUUUGUUGGAGACUGAAAAAUUAUA